AGUGAACGCUGGCGGCAGGCCUAACACAUGCAAGUCGAGCGGCAGCGCGUCCGACCACCCUCGGGUGGUCGGAUGGCGGCGAGCGGCGGACGGGUGAGGAAUGCAUCGGAAUCUGCCUCGUUGUGGGGGGAUAACGUAGGGAAACUUACGCUAAUACCGCAUACGACCUACGGGUGAAAGUGGGGGGACCUUCGGGCCUCACGCGAUGAGAUGAGCCGAUGCCGGAUUAGCUAGUUGGCGGGGGUAAAGGCCUACCAAGGCCACGAUCGGUAGCUGGUCUGAGAGGAUGAUCAGCCACACUGGGACUGAGACACGGCCCAGACUCCUACGGGAGGCAGCAGUGGGGAAUAUUGGACAAUGGGCGCAAGCCUGAUCCAGCAAUGCCGCGUGUGUGAAGAAGGCCUGCGGGUUGUAAAGCACUUUCAGUGGGGAAGAACAGAUUCGGGUCAAUACCCCGGAGCCCUGACGUUACCCACAGAAGAAGCACCGGCUAACU
RNAcentral lists this ribosomal RNA (496 nucleotides) under uncultured bacterium. RNAcentral describes it as "bacterial SSU rRNA". It matches the Rfam family "Bacterial small subunit ribosomal RNA", at positions 30 to 502 of the family's 1533-position model. The record is from RNAcentral.